This 488-nucleotide ribosomal RNA is filed under the name uncultured bacterium. Its description in RNAcentral is "partial 16S ribosomal RNA". It matches the Rfam family "Bacterial small subunit ribosomal RNA", at positions 28 to 507 of the family's 1533-position model. The record is from RNAcentral.
GACGAACGCUGGCGGCGUGCUUAACACAUGCAAGUCGAACGGAAACGCCCUGCCUUUGUGGUGUGCUCGAGUGGCGAACGGGUGAGUAACACGUGAGUACCCUUCCCUUGACUGUGGGAUAACUUCCGGAAACCGGGGCUAUUACCCGAUAGGAGCUCCUGCUACAUGGUGGGGGCUGGAAAGUUUCGGCGGUUGGGGAUGGACUCGCGGCUUAGCAGCUUGUUGGUGGGGUAGUGGCCUAACAAGGCGUUGACGAGUAGCCGGACGGAGAGGGGGGUCGCCGGCACGGGAGGUGGAACACGCCCAAGGGGCCUAAGGGAGGGACCAGACGGCAACGUUGGGCAGUGGGCGGAAAUAUGAUACAGUGAGCGCGAGCGUGAGACAGCAACGCUGCGUUCGGGAUGACGGCCUGCGGGGUGUAAACCGCUUUGGCCUGUGACGAAGGGUGAGUGACGGUAAUGGAUAAAGAAGCACCGGCUAACUACGUG